UGCCUACGGGAGGCAGCAGUCGGGAAUAUUGCGCAAUGGAGGAAACUCUGACGCAGUGACGCCGCGUAUAGGAAGAAGGUUUUCGGAUUGUAAACUAUUGUCAUCAGGGAAGAUAAAAGACAGUACCUGAGGAGGAAGCUCCGGCUAACUAUGUGCCAGCAGCCGCGGUAAUACGGAGGAUGCGAGCGUUAUCCGGAUUUAUUGGGUUUUAAGGGUGCGCAGGCGGAAGAUCAAGUCAGCGGUAAAAUUGAGAGGCUCAACCUCUUCGAGCCGUUGAAACUGGUGUUCUUGAGUGAGCGAGAAGU
RNAcentral lists this ribosomal RNA (305 nucleotides) under uncultured bacterium. RNAcentral's name for it is "bacterial SSU rRNA". It matches the Rfam family "Bacterial small subunit ribosomal RNA", at positions 335 to 658 of the family's 1533-position model. The record is from RNAcentral.